Molecule: ribosomal RNA, 235 nt
Filed under: uncultured bacterium
Lineage: Bacteria
Description: partial 16S ribosomal RNA
Rfam family: Bacterial small subunit ribosomal RNA
Source: RNAcentral
GGCGGACGGGUGAGUAAUGUAUAGUUAAUCUGCCCUUUAGAGGGGGAUAACAGUUGGAAACGACUGCUAAUACCCCAUACUCCUUUUAUCUUAAUGGUAAUUGGGAAACGUUUUUUCGCUAAAGGAUGAGACUAUAUGGUAUCAGGUAGUUGAUGGGGUAAGAGCCUACCAAGCCAAUGACGCCUAGCUGGUCUGAGAGGAUGAUCAGCCACACUGGAACUGAGACACGGUCCAG